Microcebus murinus (gray mouse lemur) is the source of this 996-nucleotide non-coding RNA. NCBI's taxonomy places the organism in Eukaryota, Metazoa, Chordata, Mammalia, Primates, Cheirogaleidae. The record is from RefSeq and is a predicted model, not a curated record.
CUCCUCCUGACCUCAAACAAUCCUUCUGCCCUGGACUCCCAAAGUGCUGGGUUUACAGGCAUGAGCCAACCACACCUGACCCAUGACUGCUUUCAUAUUUGUUUUUUGGAGGAAGUGUCCAGUCACCACAAUGAUCCAGAAUAGAGCACAGAACAAGAUGCCUGAAUUUACUGCCCUGCAAUCGCCAACUUCCCGCUCCAUUGAGACACCCCAGUGGACACCGGGUUGUUGACAUCCACAACACCACUGGUUCAAGGCUGGAGCGGGUAAUCUCCCUAUGAGGAAAAGGGUCUUAAGAUUUACACCUCCGGACUUCCACUUGUGCGUGAGGCGAGCAGAGCUGGAGACAAGACCAGAGGCCGAACUCGGGAUCUGACAAGAUGGCCGGGCUGCCCUGAAGGAUCAUCAAGGAAACCCAGCAUUUGCCGGCAGAACCCGUUCCUGGCAUUAAAGCAGAACCAGAUGAGAGCAACGCCCGUUACUUUCAUGUGGUCAUUGCUGGCCCCCAGGAUUCGCCCUUUGAGGGAGGGACUUUGAAACUUGAACUAUUCCUUCCAGAAGAAUACCCAAUGGCAGCUCCUAAAGUAUGUUGCAUUACCAAAAUUUAUCAUCCUAAUGUAGACAAGUUGGGAAGAAUCUGUUUAGAUAUUUUGAAAGAUAAAUGGUCCCCAGCACUGCAGAUCCUCACAGUUCUGCUAUCAAUCCAAGGCUUUGUUAAGUGCCCCCAAUCCAGAUGAUCCGUUAGCAAAUGAUGUAGCGGAGUAGUGGAAGACCAAUGAAGCCCAAGCCAUAGAAACAGCUAGAGCAAGGACUAGGCUAUAUGCCAUGAGUAAUGUUUAAAUCGAUCCGAUCAUCAAGUGUGCAUCACUUCUCCUGUUCUGCCAAGACUUCUUCCUUUUUUGUUUGCAUUUAAUGGACACAGUCUUAGAAACAUUACAGAAUAAAAGCCCAGACAUCUUCAGUCCUUUGGUGAUUAAAUGCACAUUAGCAAAUCUA